GAGUAACAUGUAGGUAUCUGCCCUUUGGCCUGGAAUAACACGAGGAAACUUGUGCUAAUACCGGAUAAGUCUUUACGGAGAAAGCUUUAUGCACCAUUGGAUGAGCCUGCACUUGAUUAGUUUGUUGGUGGGGUAAUGGCCUACCAAGACUGUGAUCAAUAGCUGAUUUGAGAGGAUGAUCAGCCACAUUGGGACUGAGACACGGCCCAAACUCCUACGGGAGGCAGCAGUGGGGAAUAUUGCACAAUGGAGGAAACUCUGAUGCAGCGAUGCCGCGUGAGUGAAGAAGGCCCUUGGGUUGUAAAGCUCUUUCGUCGGGGAAGAAAAUGACUGUACCCGAAUAAGAAGGUCCGGCUAACUUCGUGCCAGCAGCCGCGGUAAUACGAAGGGACCUAGCGUAGUUCGGAAUUACUGGGCUUAAAGAGUUCGUAGGUGGUUGAAAAAGUUAGUGGUGAAAUCCCAGAGCUUAACUCUGGAACUGCCAUUAAAACUUUUCAGCUAGAGUAUGAUAGAGGAAAGCAGAAUUUCUAGUGUAGAGGUGAAAUUCGUAGAUAUUAGAAAGAAUACCAAUUGCGAAGGCAGCUUUCUGGAUCAUUACUGACACUGAGGAACGAAAGCAUGGGUAGCGAAGAGGAUUAGAUACCCUCGUAGUCCAUGCCGUAAACGAUGUGUGUUAGACGUUGGAAAUUUAUUUUCAGUGUCGCAGGGAAACCGAUAAACACACCGCCUGGGGAGUACGACCGCAAGGUUAAAACUCAAAUGAAUUGACGGGGACCCGCACAAGUAGUGGAGCAUGUGGUUUAAUUCGAAGAUACGCGCAGAACCUUACCAACACUUGACAUGUUCGUCGCGACUCUAAGAGAUUAGAGUUUUCGGUUCGGCCGGACGAAACACAGGUGCUGCAUGGCUGUCGUCAGCUCGUGUCGUGAGAUGUUGGGUUAAGUCCCGCAACGAGCGCAACCCUCACUUUUAGUUGCCAUCAUUAAGUUGGGCACUCUGAAAGAACUGCCAGUGAUAAGCUGGAGGAAGGUGGGGAUGACGUCAAGUCCUCAUGGCCCUUACGUGUUGGGCUACACACGUGCUACAAUGGUAUCUACAACAGGAAGCAAAACUGCGAAGUUAAGCAAAUCCCUAAAAGAUACCUCAGUUCGGAUUGCACUCUGCAACUCGAGUGCAUGAAGCUGGAAUUACUAGUAAUCGUGGAUCAGCGUGCCACGGUGAAUGCGUUCCCGGGUCUUGUACACACC
Molecule: ribosomal RNA, 1247 nt
Filed under: uncultured bacterium
Lineage: Bacteria
Description: bacterial SSU rRNA
Rfam family: Bacterial small subunit ribosomal RNA
Source: RNAcentral